This is a long non-coding RNA of Leopardus geoffroyi (Geoffroy's cat), 2997 nucleotides long. RefSeq lists it as uncharacterized. The record is from RefSeq and is a predicted model, not a curated record. The transcript is spliced from 3 exons. NCBI's taxonomy places the organism in Eukaryota, Metazoa, Chordata, Mammalia, Carnivora, Felidae.
GGAGUACAGGGUUAUAAGAACCCAGAAGCUUGGAAGAAGGAAGCCUUGGAGCUGGGACUCAGACCUCUGAGGCAGAGAUGAUUCCCAGACAAUGCUGGUCCCUAUGAAUGGGGCUCCCAAGGCUGGUUCUGGGAGUGCGGGGGACGAAACUGGGGACUGGAAUGACUGCUGGUGUAACCACAUGCCCCUGGCAAGGUACUGCUGGAGGGAUGAUACCUAGAAGAGCAAGCAGAUAAGAGGAAAGCAUCCCUUCUUCCUCCUUCUUCCUUCCAGUCUCCCUAUUCGUGGAGCAUCCAGCUGGCAAAGGAAAAAUGUGGCUCACAGAUCCCCAGCCCCAGCAUCACAGAGUAGAGCCUAGAAGGAUGCGUUAGUUAAGAGGCGAUACCCUACCAACCAGCAUACCACACUUGGCAAAAUACAGCAGUCCCCCUUUCUCUGUGCUUUCAGUUACCCGUGGUCCAGGAGCAGACGAUCUUCCUUCUGAUGUAUCAUCAGCCACAGGGCGUUGAGCUGGCAGAUGGGCUCUAUCCAGCCCCGGGAAAGGAUACCACAGACCUUGCAUCCAAAGAGAUCACAACCAAGAUGGUAGGUGGAGAUACGUUCGACCUCACUCAUAAUAAAAAGAAAAGCAAAUUAAAACUACGACGACAUAACACUUUCGCCUAUACAAUUGCAAACAUUUUUAAACGUGAUCGCUCUGUUGACAAGAGUGUGAAAAACAAUUCUCUCCUCCCUGCCUGAUGGGACUCUCCUCCCUGUAAACCGGUACAGCCUCACAGGAGAAGAAGGUGAUCAGAUGAUGUGUAUCAAAAGAUUAAACGCAAAAUUUAAAUUGAGCCGCCACCGACCUCUGGGCAUUCGCUCUCCAGAUACUCUGGCAUCUGCAUGGAAAGACAGGCGUGCAAAGAUUUGCAUCCAGCACUACUUGCAAAAGCAAGACUGGAGGCACCCUGAGUGUCAAUCAGCAGAAGACUGGAUCUGGGAGAUGCGGGAUGUGGGUAUGUGUGGCAUGGGGUCUCCGAGAAGCAGAUGUCGAGACAGAGUGCAGGAUGUAUAUGGGGGAGUUACAGCUAUGAAGGAAAAGGAGAAGAAAUAAAAUUGGGUGGGGAGGGCUGCCACUGGAACAAGGUUCAGGGCUAACAAAGUCUCCUCACCCCCCCGAGGGAAGCAAAGAUCGCCUGUUAGGGAAAUAGCCAGGCUCAUCUUGGUAUCACCAGUACCACCACCGUUUGCCCAGCCUUGGGCUGCAGGCUGCCUGGAGAAGACCGUGACCCCAACUCAACAGCUGAGGGGGAACCCUGGAAAAGCUGCCAGCUUCCCAGUCCUCAGCGAGGCAGUGAGCCCUUUUACAAGGAGAGUCUAAACAACUCACUCCUGGGUCUGACAUAAGAGUCACCCAUACAAUAAAGAGAUAAAUCUAUAUUACUUGCCUGGGAACAGUCUCCAGGAUAUAGGUUAAGUGAAAAAUAUAUAAAUCAAGUGCAAAAGAGAGCACAGUGUUUUGGAACCAAGUACAGGUGAUGGUUGCCCAACAAUGUCUAUGUACUGAAUGCCAUGGAAUUGUACAUUUUAAAAUGGUUAAUUUUGUUAUGUGAACUUCAUGUCAAUUUUUUAAAGAAAGGACACAAUGCGCUACCAUCGUGUUAAUAAAAAAGGAAACGCACCUAUGUGCAUGUAUGCACAGAAAGGCAUGGAAAAUCUCCGGAAGGAGCCGUGAAAGACUGGUUCUGUGGCUGGCACUGAGGAGAGAGACCUAAUUUUCACUGAAUGCUCUUGGUACUGCUUAAAUUUUUACCACAUGCAUGUCAUUACACCCUCUCUGAAAUGAACCAUCAUCAAAGAUGUUAAUUGUUCUGAUGAAUGAAUUACUUGCCGUCAGGAGAAAUCAAUGAAAAAUUCCCUGCCAGAUUACUAUUAACCAGACACUAUCAUAUUGGUCUUUCAAUUUCAGAAAAUUCAGCCCCCGUCAAGGUGCAUGGACAGCACAUACCAGGUUCCUUUCCCUCUCAGGGUCAGAGUACUUGAGGAACACAGACACAGUAAAUUUCUGGAACCACGUGGUGAACACCGAUACUUGCUAGAAAAGGAGGAAAAUUGUAUCUUACUGAAAAUUCCUUCACCAGCUGCUGUAUCAUGCAACAUUGAGCAAAUUAGCAUGCCUUCACAGAGUUCAUUAUUUUAAAGAUGGUAAAAUGGCCAAGUCACUGACGUUUCCCCUUUCAUCAAAACGUAGAGGACUGGUUGCCUCUGGGUCUCUCCAAUUGCUCCAGCACGUCUUUUGAACCCAUCUGAUGGUGUCACUCAAAAAGGGCACCUCUUUCAACUUGGCUGCCUCUUUUUGACCCAAAAUAAUUUCAGCCAUUUCUACAGCUCCAGGCUCCACCAGGUUUUCUAUUAUUACAUGCAUCUUUCACGGUGAUUCUGAACUGACCUUGAAUGAAGAGACAAACAAUUUUUUAUCUGUUUGCUUGAUUGUACUUCUCAGGCAUUGCUCCAAGCCAAGGCUUUUCUUUUGCGUAGCAAAAAACACUAGUGCUUUGCCUCUAAAGUCACACAAGGGGCUUUCCAAUGCCUCUGCGAGUGUUUUGUUGCAUGCAAUCAGGGCUCAGAUUUUUCUUGAUGGAGAGACAUAUGGUUGGGCCCAUUUUAGCAACUCCGUAAUAAAACCAAUUACAAAAAUAAGCAUCUAAGAAUAUCUUACGCUUUUAAGAUUGACACCACUGCUCACACUACUCAAUUGCUACUUGUGGCUGGCAGUUCAUGCAGUGUCUUCGUGGUCAAGUUCACUGUGGCAAACUCAGAGGCAAUGCCAUUUCAUAGCUAAAGGACUUUGGGUUCUAUGGGAUCCACUCAUUAGGUGGCACAUGUCCCUGAUUUCAAGCUUUUGCUUCAGAUUUUUAAACCUUUUAGCUGACGAACAGCUGUAAGCUUACUGCUCUUUAAGAAAGUAAAUGAGGGGCACCUGGAUGGCUCAGUCUGUUGGGGCUCCGACUUCGG